AGAAGGCUUAUCCCAUCAAACAAAAAUAUUAUUUGUUUUUGUUAUAAAAAUGCUAAUAACUUACCUCUGAAGGUUUUUAUUAAACUUUCCAGGCCCUUUUCUCUUUUUCAACGACUCUCAUCAUACUUGCUUCUCGCCUCAAUUCUCUCGCAUAGGCGGGAAGACAAAGAUGAACUUUUUGGGACGAUGGUAGGGCACGAUCUAAUUUCCAGUAGGUUAAAUCACAGAAAAAGAAUUUAUAUCUACGUUUUUUACGUAGGGUUAAUCCUCUUGAUAUUUAAUAAAGCGGGCUUUUGUUUCUAAAAGUACCGAUUUAUAAUUCUAAAUUGUCAAAUGCCCCACCUCGGGCAGACCUUUUGCAAUCAAAUGACUACAACCUGUCAAAUGCACGUCAAAUGCCCCCCGGGGGAGGAUGGGCCGGUCUGGAAUUGACAGAGCCAUAACAAUGGUCACUCUAAUUGUAGCGGCAAUGGUGAUGCGCAAAAUGUUAAUAAUACGACUUUUUUUCACCGGCAUAAGCACUCUUGAUGAGCAUGUCAUGUUCAAAUAUUGUUUUAAAAAACAAACAAACAAAAACAAUAUAAAGCCUAUCUUCGCCGGCUCGUAAAGAUUGCCUGGGUGAUUGACUUGUUUCUUUCCUUUCUUAAAACCAGCAAUGUAUAACUAUUCUCGCUAUUUCUAAAGAUUUUAGAUCUUCAGUUGCGAGCCGUCCAUCAGCGUCAAAGAAAAGAGACUUCCAAAAAGUGCGAGAAAGAUAAGAGACAACACGACAAGGUGAAGUUGUUUUGCCGUAAGUGCCAGGUGUUCGCGUGCAGUGGAAAUGACAUCAGGUGUAUAAAGGAAGCCCAUCACGUGGUCAUUGAUAAAGACUUCACGUCCAAAUUUCAUUUCAAGAAAAGCAAGAGUCCCAGAGUGUUGAAUGAAAUUGAACUGACAGGGCCUUUGCACUGCCUGGAUUGCGAUGCGGAGUGGGGUGUGAUGCUGAAGUAUCAGUCCAAGGAAAUGCCUUGUAUCAAAGCUUCCUGCUUUGGAUUUGAGUUUGAGAAUGAGGCUGGCGUGAAAACGACACUCUCCUUCAAGAAGUGGAAAGAUGUGCGAAUGAAUGUUGAAAGCUUCGAGCACUGCCAAACACAAGUUUUAGAUUGUUUCUUGGACUUAGCUGAGCUGUGCUUAGAUUAGUUAUCUGCGGUCUGUAGUUAUUUAGCUAGCAGCAAUGACAAUUAUUAUUGCAAUAUACAAAUAUAAACAAAGCAAGAUAGGCUGACGCAGCGUUGUGUGCGCACAUGCACCAAGAGGAUUUAAAGUAAGGUAGAAAUAACAGCCGCGUAAUUGAUGUCGGCAAUAAAAGUUUAGUUUACGUACAAUUAUUAAAGUUUGCUCAGAAGGGAGGGGGCGUCUCUAAGCAAGACAUUGGUCGAGUCAUCACUGCCAGUGUGCAUGGGAAUUAGUGUGGCCUCUCACUACUUAACUAAUAGCCUUAUCUUGGUGCCUUGUGUAGUCAAUCACUGCACAGGACUUGAUUCAUCUUGCUCGUUCGUGGAGCUAGCCAUGUAAUAACAAGAGGAAAAAUAUGUAUUACCAGACGUAAACGUAUUGUGUGAACCGCGUCAGAAUUACAACACGAGAACCAAAGGGCACAUACCUAAAAAUAAAUUCUUUCUCUGAAAUUAAGUAGCAUUUGCGUUCGGAUUCCUACAGGUAAUAGUUAUCUAUUGUCAAGACCAGGUUGCAGGACAUGCUAUUUUGAUAAACUUAAAACAUUUUGGUAAGGAUCGUUAGAAUCAAUAGUUACGGACAGUUGAUAUAGUCACAUAGAAAUGAGGAACGACAACAAAAUGGCAUUUGUUAAAAGGUCCUUGCUGCAAGGGUGCAACAAUGUAUUUAAAAAACCAGAACUUUGAACUUUAUGCAAAUGUAAAAAAUAAUCUUUAAUGUAAAAAUAAAAUGUGUGGCUGAAGAUCAUUAAAAUGGAACAAGUCUUUACUUGUU
Molecule: long non-coding RNA, 1989 nt
Organism: Orbicella faveolata
Lineage: Eukaryota; Metazoa; Cnidaria; Anthozoa; Scleractinia; Merulinidae
Source: RefSeq, a predicted model, not a curated record